This 70-nucleotide transfer RNA is filed under the name Trichoglossus euteles (olive-headed lorikeet). RNAcentral describes it as "tRNA-Glu". It matches the Rfam family "tRNA". Rfam says of the family: Transfer RNA (tRNA) molecules are approximately 80 nucleotides in length. Their secondary structure includes four short double-helical elements and three loops (D, anti-codon, and T loops). Further hydrogen bonds mediate the characteristic L-shaped molecular structure. tRNAs have two regions of fundamental functional importance: the anti-codon, which is responsible for specific mRNA codon recognition, and the 3' end, to which the tRNAs corresponding amino acid is attached (by aminoacyl-tRNA synthetases). tRNAs cope with the degeneracy of the genetic code in two manners: having more than one tRNA (with a specific anti-codon) for a particular amino acid; and 'wobble' base-pairing, i.e. permitting non-standard base-pairing at the 3rd anti-codon position. The record is from RNAcentral. RNAcentral also lists the same sequence under 1 other name. Lineage: Eukaryota; Metazoa; Chordata; Aves; Psittaciformes; Psittaculidae.
GUUCUUGUAGUUGAGCAAUACAACGAUGGUUUUUCAGACCAUAGGCCUUGGGUUGAUCCAAGUAAGAACU